UGGGGAAUAUUGGACAAUGGGCGAAAGCCUGAUCCAGCCAUGCCGCGUGUGUGAAGAAGGUCUUCGGAUUGUAAAGCACUUUAAGUUGGUAGGAAGGGCAGUAAGCGAAUACCUUGCUGUUUUGACGUUACCGACAGAAUAAGCACCGGCUAACUCUGUGCCAGCAGCCGCGGUAAUACAGAGGGUGCAAGCGUUAAUCGGAAUUACUGGGCGUAAAGCGCGCGUAGGUGGUUCGUUAAGUUGAAUGUGAAAGCCCCGGGCUCAACCUGGGAACUGCAUCCAAAACUGGCGAGCUAGAGUAGGGCAGAGGGUGGUGGAAUUUCCUGUGUAGCGGUGAAAUGCGUAGAUAUAGGAAGGAACACCAGUGGCGAAGGCGACCACCUGGGCUCAUACUGACACUGAGGUGCGAAAGCGUGGGGAGCAAACAGG
This 429-nucleotide ribosomal RNA is filed under the name Pseudomonadota bacterium. Its description in RNAcentral is "Proteobacteria bacterium partial 16S ribosomal RNA". It matches the Rfam family "Bacterial small subunit ribosomal RNA", at positions 355 to 776 of the family's 1533-position model. The record is from RNAcentral. Lineage: Bacteria; Pseudomonadati; Pseudomonadota.